CUGAGGGGGAGAGAGAGAGAUUGCUUUGAUUAUAUUCAAAUGAAUCCUGCAUCACCAAGCCCAGAUUCCAAGGGCAGAUCUUGGGAAGGAAUAUAAAAUUAAGGGAGGUCAAUAUUGUUGUUGUAUGAAUCCCUUUAUAAAAGAACUAGUUUAAUAAAAUGGGUUUCUAUAGCCUUUCUUGAACAAGUUUCCUGCUUUACAGGUCUCAACCAGGGAAGCAAACUGAGCUGAGGAGAGGCCAAUCUGCAAUCUCUAUUUGGAGCCAUGAAGACUUGGUUUUUGAGGUGGCUUCAUCAUGAUGACUAUGACUUGACAGCGACUUCUUUGAUUGCUAGCUGUUUCUAUUUGCACAAUUUGCUGCUCCUCACCAAUUUAGGUCUACUUGAGCUGCCUUUCUCAGGUACUAUGCAUAAAAGUCGUCUACCAUUGUUUUUCAGCAUAAUUGAUACGUACAUGUAUUUGUUUUACCAGAUAACAGGGAAAAUUAAGGAGAAGGAUAUCUUUUUUCUGAGUUUUCAAGUAGUUGUUGAUAGGUGGGGUUUUUUCUUCCCUUUUCAACCUUUCACCAAGUGUUUGGUGUUGAAA
This 585-nucleotide unclassified non-coding RNA is filed under the name Hevea brasiliensis (rubber tree). Lineage: Eukaryota; Viridiplantae; Streptophyta; Magnoliopsida; Malpighiales; Euphorbiaceae. The record is from RNAcentral.